GACGAACGCUGGCGGCGUGCUUAACACAUGCAAGUCGAACGGAAAGGCCCUGCUUUUGUGGGGUGCUCGAGUGGCGAACGGGUGAGUAACACGUGAGUAACCUGCCCCUGACUUUGGGAUAACUUCAGGAAACUGGGGCUAAUACCGGAUAGGAGCUCCUGCUGCAUGGUGGGGGUUGGAAAGUUUCGGCGGUUGGGGAUGGACUCGCGGCUUAUCAGCUUGUUGGUGGGGUAGUGGCUUACCAAGGCUUUGACGGGUAGCCGGCCUGAGAGGGUGACCGGCCACAUUGGGACUGAGAUACGGCCCAGACUCCUACGGGAGGCAGCAGUGGGGAAUAUUGCACAAUGGGCGGAAGCCUGAUGCAGCAACGCCGCGGGCGGGAUGACGGCCUUCGGGUUGUAAACCGCUUUCGCCUGUGACGAAGCGUGAGUGACGGUAAUGGGUAAAGAAGCACCGGCUAACUACGUGC
Molecule: ribosomal RNA, 469 nt
Filed under: uncultured bacterium
Lineage: Bacteria
Description: partial 16S ribosomal RNA
Rfam family: Bacterial small subunit ribosomal RNA
Source: RNAcentral